GACGAACGCUGGCGGCGUGCUUAACACAUGCAAGUCGAACGGUGAAGCGCCUUCCCUUUUGGUGGGUGUGGAUGAGUGGCGAACGGGUGAGUAACACGUGAGUAACCUGCCCCCUUCUUCUGGAUAACCGCAUGAAAGUGUGGCUAAUACGGGAUAUUCUGGGUCUGUCGCAUGAUGGGUCUGGGAAAGAUAUUGUUUCGGUGGGGGAUGGGCUCGCGGCCUAUCAGCUUGUUGGUGGGGUGAUGGCCUACCAAGGCGGUGACGGGUAGCCGGCCUGAGAGGGUGAACGGUCACACUGGGACUGAGACACGGCCCAGACUCCUACGGGAGGCAGCAGUGGGGAAUAUUGCACAAUGGGCGCAAGCCUGAUGCAGCGACGCCGCGUGAGGGAUGGAGGCCUUCGGGUUGUGAACCUCUUUCGCCAGUGAAGCAGGCCUGCCUCGUUUGUGGGUGGGUUGACGGUAGCUGGAUAAGAAGCGCCGGCUAACUACGUG
This 494-nucleotide ribosomal RNA is filed under the name uncultured bacterium. Its description in RNAcentral is "partial 16S ribosomal RNA". It matches the Rfam family "Bacterial small subunit ribosomal RNA", at positions 28 to 507 of the family's 1533-position model. The record is from RNAcentral.